RNAcentral lists this ribosomal RNA (253 nucleotides) under uncultured bacterium. RNAcentral's name for it is "partial 16S ribosomal RNA". It matches the Rfam family "Bacterial small subunit ribosomal RNA", at positions 524 to 776 of the family's 1533-position model. The record is from RNAcentral.
UACGGGGGGGGCAAGCGUUGUUCGGAAUUACUGGGCGUAAAGGGCUCGUAGGCGGCCAACUAAGUCAGACGUGAAAUCCCCAGGCUUAACUUGGGAACUGCGUCUGAUACUGGAUGGCUUGAAUUCGGGAGAGGGAUGCAGAAUUCCAGGUGUAGCGGUGAAAUGCGUAGAUAUCUGGAGGAAUACCGGUGGCGAAGGCGGCAUCCUGGACAGUGACUGACGCUGAGACGCGAAAGCGUGGGGAGCAAACAGG